UCAACCCUCAAGCCCCUUUGGCUUGGUGUUGGAGACUGGCGGGGCGCAUGCGCCCGGAGCCACUCCCAAAUACAAUGACGGCGGCGACGAUGACCCCCGGCACACUGAGCUUCUCACCGAGCACGUGCUGGAAGGGUCUUGUGGCCACGGUCUGCCUCCCCUCUGGGAGAAACGGAUUUCAUCCACCAA
RNAcentral lists this unclassified non-coding RNA (189 nucleotides) under uncultured Herpotrichiellaceae. Its description in RNAcentral is "sequence contains ITS2". Lineage: Eukaryota; Fungi; Ascomycota; Eurotiomycetes; Chaetothyriales; Herpotrichiellaceae. The record is from RNAcentral.